AGUCCUCUCCACCCCAAGGUAGGCAGCUUCCCGCUCCUCGUCUUGGGACCUAAACCCAGGAAGUCAAAUGUCCUUUUCUAGCAGGUCGCCUGGUUAGAGGCCGUGGACGAAGCGGUCCAGGCACAGCCAGCUGCAGGGCGCGGCCUCGGCGGCGCUGCUCGUGGCCCUGGUCAGUGAGCGCACUCACUCCUGGACUAAGCUCUAUGCAACUCAUUUUCAUCUAGCAUUACCUCUCCAAAACCUGAAUCUCCACAAGAAAGCCACACAGCAAUUAACCAGUGUUGCAAGAACUGCUUCUGUAAUAAAGGUGGGAAGACAAAUUGAUGCAACCCUCUUGAAAAGCAAUCUGGCAAUAUGAACCAAGAGCCAUGAAAAGGCUUAUGCUAUUAUAAUUAAAUGGCUGUAAUGUUGGCUGUAAAUAUGAAAUUUUCUUUCACACACCAAUGUUUUCAAGAAUGGCAUAUUCACAUGCAGUAUGUGAUGAAAGAAGCAGUAAAGGAUGCUAACAAAGCUAUUUCUUUGGACAAUCUGAACCUGACGGAGUCUUACUCUGUCGCCCAGGCAGGAGUGCAAUGGCACAAUCUUGGCUCACCACAACCUCCGCCUCCUGGGUUCAAGUGACUCUCCUGCCUGGCCAUAGAAGCAAACACAAACAUAGAGGAAUUGGCUUUGGGCAGAUGGAAGGACCUCAGAGAAAAGAAACAAAGGAAAGAAAACUGGAUGGAUAAAGGUUUGUAGAAAUACUAUUCACAGGAAGCAAAUAGGAAUUCCUUAUCGCUAAACAGACACUAAGUCAAUUGGAUCUUGCCAGCUGGUGCCUGGGUGCAUAGACUGCCUAUGGCUCUUGAAUUGCAUGCUGAAAACUUCAUAAUGAAACCAGAAAAUCACAGAAGCAUAAACACAGCUGCUUAUGCCUAUAAAUUAUUGCUGGUGAAAAGGAUGUUUAAGCAGAGUGAGAGACUCUCAGCAAAAAAAGGUAACUGAAAGAGUGGUAAGUCAGACAAAGAAGAAAAAUGCCAAAGAAGAGGGUCAAGAACAACUCAUAUGACUCCGAAAUCCCUUACCCACAUUGGAGUUAUAAAAAGUUCAGGAGCUGGAGACAAAAGGCAGGUUCAUAAAGAGGAUUCCUUGGA
Molecule: long non-coding RNA, 1133 nt
Organism: Homo sapiens (human)
Lineage: Eukaryota; Metazoa; Chordata; Mammalia; Primates; Hominidae
Product: long intergenic non-protein coding RNA 3076
Source: Ensembl